This is a long non-coding RNA of Pseudopipra pipra, 644 nucleotides long. RefSeq lists it as uncharacterized. The transcript is spliced from 2 exons. The record is from RefSeq and is a predicted model, not a curated record. NCBI's taxonomy places the organism in Eukaryota, Metazoa, Chordata, Aves, Passeriformes, Pipridae.
CUCACAGAGUCCAGCAGACCGGCCGGCUGCCUCCAAAUAAAGAACGCGUGAGCACGUAGGACACCGAACACAUGGAAAAAAAAAUCUGAUACCAAACCGUAACAGGAUUUUUUGCUGCCAAGUCACAGCAGCAGCAGCAGCAGCGCGGGCACCGCGGCUGGAACCCGCAGCACGGCAGUGCCUCACACCGGGUCACCUCCCUCUCCUGACCCUUUCCAGCAAGCAUGGACAGAGCUACUUCAGUGAGCAUUCCUCUCCACUGGAAGGGGAAAAAAAUGUACAAGGGAGGAUUCAACAUGGAGCUGCCCACAUCCUCUGAGAGACAAAAAUGUGAAGGCUUGAGUAGAAGGCUCAUGAAGAAUGACAGAGACAGAGGCAGUCAGAAGCAUGGAGAUGUAGUUCCUAAAAGGCUGGCAAGGCAUAUGCACCUCCUGGAGAGCAUGGGCAAAGAUUGUCUUGUGAUCUUUAAGUAUUUUGCAGUCUCUCCUCUUUUAAAUCCAUUUUGUUGGAAGUGAGUUUUGCUAAAAACAACAAUGUGCAAAUGCCUUUCUCAGCAUGUCACAACUUUUUUGACCAACCCACAUAGACAAACUGGAGACCUUGAGAACAUACGCUUCCGUUCUAUAUAAACAGUUUAAAAUAGA